This 74-nucleotide transfer RNA is filed under the name Nitrosopumilus cobalaminigenes. Its description in RNAcentral is "tRNA-Ala". It matches the Rfam family "tRNA". From Rfam's summary of the family: Transfer RNA (tRNA) molecules are approximately 80 nucleotides in length. Their secondary structure includes four short double-helical elements and three loops (D, anti-codon, and T loops). Further hydrogen bonds mediate the characteristic L-shaped molecular structure. tRNAs have two regions of fundamental functional importance: the anti-codon, which is responsible for specific mRNA codon recognition, and the 3' end, to which the tRNAs corresponding amino acid is attached (by aminoacyl-tRNA synthetases). tRNAs cope with the degeneracy of the genetic code in two manners: having more than one tRNA (with a specific anti-codon) for a particular amino acid; and 'wobble' base-pairing, i.e. permitting non-standard base-pairing at the 3rd anti-codon position. RNAcentral also lists the same sequence under 4 other names. Lineage: Archaea; Thermoproteati; Nitrososphaerota; Nitrososphaeria; Nitrosopumilales; Nitrosopumilaceae. The record is from RNAcentral.
GGGCCGGUCGUCUAGUCCGGUAGGAUAUGUGCAUGGCAUGCAUGGGAUCGAGGGUUCAAAUCCCUUCCGGUCCA